RNAcentral lists this ribosomal RNA (501 nucleotides) under uncultured bacterium. RNAcentral describes it as "bacterial SSU rRNA". It matches the Rfam family "Bacterial small subunit ribosomal RNA", at positions 8 to 507 of the family's 1533-position model. The record is from RNAcentral.
AGAGUUUGAUCAUGGCUCAGAUUGAACGCUGGCGGAAUGCUUUACACAUGCAAGUCGAACGGCAGCACGGGGCAACCUGGUGGCGAGUGGCGAACGGGUGAGUAAUAUAUCGGAACGUGCCCAAUCGUGGGGAUAACGUAGCGAAAGUUACGCUAAUACCGCAUACGAUCUACGGAUGAAAGCGGGGGAUCGCAAGACCUCGCGCGAAUGGAGCGGCCGAUAUCAGAUUAGGUAGUUGGUGGGGUAAAGGCUCACCAAGCCAACGAUCUGUAGCUGGUCUGAGAGGACGACCAGCCACACUGGAACUGAGACACGGUCCAGACUCCUACGGGAGGCAGCAGUGGGGAAUUUUGGACAAUGGGCGCAAGCCUGAUCCAGCCAUUCCGCGUGCAGGAUGAAGGCCUUCGGGUUGUAAACUGCUUUUGUACGGAACGAAACGGUCUGCCCUAAUGCGGCAGGCUAAUGACGGUACCGUAAGAAUAAGCACCGGCUAACUACGUG